UAGUGGAGUGAUUUGUCUGGUUAAUUCCGAUAACGAACGAGAUCCUUGCCAUUUAAAUAGCAGAACAAUCUUCGGAUUGUAUCGGCUUCUUAGAGGUACAACGUAGAAUACAUACUACGAGGAAGUGGGGCGUAUAACAA
RNAcentral lists this ribosomal RNA (140 nucleotides) under uncultured eukaryote. RNAcentral describes it as "partial 18S ribosomal RNA". It matches the Rfam family "Eukaryotic small subunit ribosomal RNA", at positions 1299 to 1458 of the family's 1831-position model. The record is from RNAcentral.